Gadus macrocephalus (Pacific cod) is the source of this 482-nucleotide long non-coding RNA. RefSeq lists it as uncharacterized. Lineage: Eukaryota; Metazoa; Chordata; Actinopteri; Gadiformes; Gadidae. The transcript is spliced from 2 exons. The record is from RefSeq and is a predicted model, not a curated record.
GGGGAGGUUUCAGUACAGUGGGGCUGGAGAGCGGAAGAGAAGGACUCCGUUUUGACCUGGGCCAGACCUGCGUGGGCCUGCUGCUGCUGCUGCUGGGGAUGAGGGUGAGGUUGCUGGGGGUGAGGUUGCUGGGGGAGAGGUUGAGGGAGGCGUGUCGGCCGACACAAGCCCAUGCGCAGGUAGGCCACGUCGGGCAGGUAAAGGUUCAUGUUGAGGGUGUAUGGAGCGAAGGCCUGGUCGUCGCUGAAGAACUGGUCCAUGUUGGACACACUGUCCCGCCGCGACUUCUGCUGCUGCUGCAGGCCGUCGGACAGGGGGGGCAGAGGCACCUGGGACAGAUACCUGUCCAGCUCACACUUGGUCUACGGAAACAAAAAGAACAUGGAUUAUCCCCGAUCCUAUUCGCUCAUCCAACAACAAUAAGCCUCGGUGAGUUUAAAGAUACAGGGUGCCUUUUUUUUUUGUGCAAAAAUACAAAUAAA